GAUGAACGCUGGCGGCGUGCCUAAUACAUGCAAGUCGAGCGAACAGACGAGGAGCUUGCUCCUCUGACGUUAGCGGCGGACGGGUGAGUAACACGUGGAUAACCUACCUAUAAGACUGGGAUAACUUCGGGAAACCGGAGCUAAUACCGGAUAAUAUAUUGAACCGCAUGGUUCAAUAGUGAAAGACGGUUUUGCUGUCACUUAUAGAUGGAUCCGCGCCGCAUUAGCUAGUUGGUAAGGUAACGGCUUACCAAGGCAACGAUGCGUAGCCGACCUGAGAGGGUGAUCGGCCACACUGGAACUGAGACACGGUCCAGACUCCUACGGGAGGCAGCAGUAGGGAAUCUUCCGCAAUGGGCGAAAGCCUGACGGAGCAACGCCGCGUGAGUGAUGAAGGUCUUCGGAUCGUAAAACCCUGUUAUUAGGGGAGAACAAAUGUGUAAGUAACUAUGCACGUCUUGACGGUACCUAAUCAGAAAGCCACGGCUAACUACGUG
This 497-nucleotide ribosomal RNA is filed under the name uncultured bacterium. RNAcentral's name for it is "partial 16S ribosomal RNA". It matches the Rfam family "Bacterial small subunit ribosomal RNA", at positions 28 to 507 of the family's 1533-position model. The record is from RNAcentral.